Molecule: ribosomal RNA, 35 nt
Filed under: Agaricus bisporus (cultivated mushroom)
Lineage: Eukaryota; Fungi; Basidiomycota; Agaricomycetes; Agaricales; Agaricaceae
Description: partial large subunit ribosomal RNA
Source: RNAcentral
GUAGGCCCACCCGCUGAACUUAAGCAUAUCAAUAA